RNAcentral lists this unclassified non-coding RNA (329 nucleotides) under soil metagenome. RNAcentral describes it as "partial contains 5.8S ribosomal RNA, internal transcribed spacer 2, and large subunit ribosomal RNA". The stretch from base 1 to 120 matches the Rfam family "5.8S ribosomal RNA", at positions 35 to 154 of the family's 154-position model. The record is from RNAcentral.
GAUGAAGAACGCAGCGAAAUGCGAUAAGUAGUGUGAAUUGCAGAAUUCAGUGAAUCAUCGAAUCUUUGAACGCACAUUGCGCCCCUUGGUAUCCCGAGGGGCAUGCCUGUUCGAGCGUCAUUUCACCACUCAAGCCUGGCUUGGUGUUGAGCGACGUCCCCUUUGGGGACGCGCCUCGAAACGCUCGGCGGCGUGGCACCGGCUUUAAGCGUAGCAGAAUCUUUCGCUUUGGAAGUCGGGGCCCCGUCUGCCGGAAGACCUACUCGCAAGGUUGACCUCGGAUCAGGCAGGGAUACCCGCUGAACUUAAGCAUAUCAAUAAGCGGAGGA